ACACGCAUGACACACUGCAUAUCAAUAAGCGGAGGAAAAGAAACUAACAAGGAUUCCCUUAGUAACGGCGAGUGAAGCGGGAAGAGCUCAAAUUUGAAAUCUUCAAGGUUUUACCUUGACGAAUUGUAGUUUAAAGAAGUGUUUUCUGUUGAAGUUUUGGUAAAAGUUCUUUGGAAUAGGACAUCAUAGAGGGUGAGAAUCCCGUAUUUGACACGUUACUUUCCAGCUGUGUGAUACACUUUCAAAGAGUCGGAUUGUUUGGGAAUGCAGUCCAAAAUGGGUGGUAAAUUUCAUCUAAAGCUAAAUACUUGGCGAGGGACCGAUAGCGAACAAGUACCGUGAGGGAAAGAUGAAAAGAACUUUGAAAAGAGAGUUAAACAGUACGUGAAAUUGUCAAAAGGGAAGCGUUUGACACCAGUGUUGUUUUUCCGAAAAUCAAUUACGAAUGUUUUAUUUUUGAGGAGUUAUGGACUUCAUCGGCUUGCUUCUCUCUUUAUGAAACUUUCUUAAUGCACUUUUCGGUUAACAAGUCAACAUCAAUUUCUUUUGUUGUAAAAGGGUAUGAGGAAGGUGGCUUUCUUUUCGGAGAAAGUGUUUAUAGCCUUGUGCCUCUGCAAUCGGAGAGAUUGAGGUCUGCAGCGUAGAUCCUUCGGGGUUAGAUACAUUUGUGCUAAGUUAUAGCUUUUCAUAGACAACUUGUUGACUAUGUUAAGUCUUGUAAUUUACUCGCAGAUGCUAUUUUACCUACGCUUAGGAUGUUGACUGAUAUGUAGUCGUA
This 778-nucleotide ribosomal RNA is filed under the name uncultured Neocallimastigales. Its description in RNAcentral is "partial large subunit ribosomal RNA". It matches the Rfam family "Eukaryotic large subunit ribosomal RNA", at positions 23 to 644 of the family's 3401-position model. Lineage: Eukaryota; Fungi; Neocallimastigomycota; Neocallimastigomycetes; Neocallimastigales. The record is from RNAcentral.